This 34-nucleotide non-coding RNA is filed under the name unclassified sequences. The record is from RNAcentral.
CUUUGAACGACAUUACUGUUCAAGGCGGAAGGAG